UGUACUUUUCCCACAUGGACAGUGUUAAUAUUUUCCUGUGAAGAGUCUUCUACAGUCUGUGCCUAAGCCCGCCUCAGUUGGUCGGAACGAGAAGCCAGAAUUUCGAUCAGGCAGCCCUCAUCUGUCCCGGCACCCUAAACGCAGAACAGAGAAUCAGGAUGAAAGCAGCUUUCAAUCUACCAGCAAACAGAGGCACCGUGAUGGCAACACAGGAUGGAGACUCUCUUGAGUAAUAGUCCAGGAUCCGAUGGGCACACCCCCAUCUGGGUUCCAUAGUUAUUGCAGACAUAUACAAUAUUGACCACGACAGCUUGAAAGGAAAAGUUAACCGUGAUGAUAAGGCCUUAACUGGAGUACUGUGUCCAGUUCUGGGCUCCACAUUUCAAGAAAGAUGUGGACACACUGGAGAAAGUCCAAGGACGGCAACAGAAUUGAUUACAGGUCAGGAAAACAUGACCGAUGAGGAAAGAUUGACAAAACUGGGUUUGUUUAGUCUGCAGAAGAGAAGACUUGGUGGACUUAUGAUAACAGUUUUCAGGUACGUAAAAGAUUGUUACAAGGAGGAGGGUGAAAAAUUGUUCUCCUGCACCUCUGAGGAUAGAGCAAGAAGCAAUGGGCUUAAAUUGCAGAGAGGGAGAUUUUGGUUAGGAAGUUUUUUCUAAUGUCUAACUGUCUGGGUGGCAUUGGAAGCGAAGCAUUGGAACAAACUGCCUAGGGAGGUUGUGGAAUCUCCAUUAUUAGAGGUUUUAAAGAACAGGUUAGACAAACACUUCUCCAGAAUAGUCUAGUUAUUAUGUAGUCCUGCCUUGAGUGCAGGGGAUUGGACUAGGUGACCUAUUGAGGUCCCUUCCAGUCCUACGCUUCUAGGAUUCUAUGUUGUGACGUUCUCCAUUUCCCUCAUUCUAGACCUUACUUCCGUUCCAGACAAUCUUGACAUUCCCAUAUUUAUUAGUGUAAGCUAUCUAUUCUUGCACCCAUGUAUGAUCAUGACACUCAGUUUAUCAAGAGCUGGGGAGGUUAAAAAAAUUAAUUCCACAUCAUUUAAAAAAUUCUCCCCUUUUGGCUUUUUCUACAUGGACCAGAGACCCAGAAAGGUGUCCCUGGACAAUGACAAGUUGAGAGAUCAAUAUUUUCGGCCUCAGUUUUCCCAGAGUGUCCACUUACUUUGGGGGUCUCAGCUUCUGGGUACUCCAAUUGAGACAACUUCUCUCAAGGCCUGAUCUGAAAGGUGCUGAACGCCCAUAUCUCCAGUUAAUUUCAAUGAGAGGCAAGGGUGCUCGGCAGCUCUGAAAAUUAGGCACCAAAUAGAGCCUCAAUUUGGACAUUCAGGAACCCCCCCCACCCUUCCCAAAA
Long non-coding RNA from Chelonia mydas (Green sea turtle), 1353 nucleotides. RefSeq lists it as uncharacterized. The transcript is spliced from 3 exons. The record is from RefSeq and is a predicted model, not a curated record. Lineage: Eukaryota; Metazoa; Chordata; Testudines; Cheloniidae.